CCUACACGGUUUGAAGCCCCAUUCACAGCAGAAGUCCUCUCUGGAACUGUAUUCUGAUUAGUUGCCUCUUUCAUUUUUGGUGGUUGAACACGUGAGGUCUCCUUAGUAUCGCCUGCUUUCACACCUGAAUUCGGCAUAAAUUUUCCCUGUAGAAUAGAUUUAGUAACUUCAGUUACAGCUUUACCAGAAAAUCAGUAUCCUUAGUAAUGACUCAAUUAUUCACCUCUGAGAAUCCAUCCAUAGCAUCUGAAAAUCCUCGUUUGUUGCCAGUAACAACUGUUUUCUGUGAUACAGCCAAAGCACUAUCUUUGGCAGGGUGCAAGGGAAAAAGCAGCUUCUCGUUCGAGGCCAAAGGGCAAGUCUCUAUGCCCCUUUCGGGAGAGAGGGACCCAGGGAGCCCGAGCCUGAGCUCAGUUGCCUUGAGAUUUAAUCCACAGGCAUUAUUGUCCUCUGAUGAGGUGGAAAUUGUACAACUGUCCACCGACGAACAAUCAGAAAGCCCCAUAUAGUUUCGCUCUUUAAGUUCUGAUCCUUUCUUGCAUAUACUUCCUAAGGAGGCCGAAGAAGCCAGUAGAGUUACAUUACUCUGGCCCUCCUCCUCCCUAACAUCAAGGAGUGGUGGAGACAUCACAAUUCAAAAUCACACUCCAAUACUUUUGCACUGCUCAUUUCAAGAAAACAAAAUCAUUACCUUACUCUCUUCAAAACAGAAUAUCAAGUUCAACGACUCAAUUGACGGCUCAGACAUAGAAGUAGUUUACAACAGUACAACACAAGGAGUGGUGGAGACAUCACAAUUCAAAAUCACACUCCAAUACUUUUGCACUGCUCAUUUCAAGAAAACAAAAUUAUUACCUUACUCUCUUCAAAACAGAAUAUCAAGUUCAACGACUCAAUUGACGGCUCACAAACAUAGAAGUAGUUUACAACAGUACAACAAAACACAACCCCCCGUCCCCCCGUCCCCAAAAAAAUGAAGUGUUCAAAUGGGUUUGUACAGUAGGUGUUGAACAAUGUACUUUAAACAUGUCUGGACUUAAAUGUUUUUUUUUUUUUGUGGAUAAAUAAUUAGCGAGGUAACUUUAGCAAAUAUCACAUUACAGUAGCAGCAAAAAAGAAAAUUCCUCUUAAAGCAGCCCUUUCUUUCAGAAAAUCACCACCAAAGAGAAAAAGAAAGAUCCUACGCAAAACCACAUAAGAGAGACGACAAAAGAAUAUUCUCCAUUACAAAAAGGAAAAACAUAAAAUAGAAAAGAAAAUCACGAAACAGAAAAAAAAAAAAAAUCCUUUACUUAACAACAAGUAUAUGAAGCUCAAACAGGAAAUAUAAUUGAUUUUAACCCACCAAAUAAAAAUUAAAGCUUCAGCAGCAGAUCUACAAAAUCAUAUGAAACAGAGUGCACAUAGAUAACAUGCAAAGGAAAAGGGAAGCGAAAGUCAAAAUUUCAAGAAGAAAAAACCAAGAUUAGUAGUUAAAAAAAUAAAUAAAUAAAGGACUGAAAAUCUUCUAACCUGUAAACCAAGCUAUUGAAUUGAUCUCUGAAGAAAAAACCCAAGAAGAAACAGAAGGAAGAAAGAUAAAGCAGUAGCAGCUGAAGAAGAAGAAGAAAGAAGAUGAUGAUGGUGGAGUAGUGAGGUUUUGCUUAGAGAGAGAAAGAGAAGAGAGAGAAAGAGAGAAAGAAAACUAAGGACCCUCCAUUUUGGCAGACAGUAACAAAAGCUUAUUUGCUGUCCUAUGUGAAACCUCUAUGCUUAUUUUAAAAUAAAAUAACUUCCCUAAAAGAAAAAUAAAAAGUAAAGAGUAAAAAACAAGGGGGUAAGGUUGUUCUUGG
Molecule: long non-coding RNA, 1832 nt
Filed under: Nicotiana tabacum (common tobacco)
Lineage: Eukaryota; Viridiplantae; Streptophyta; Magnoliopsida; Solanales; Solanaceae
Description: long non-coding RNA (NTAB_LNC008094)
Source: RNAcentral